This is a long non-coding RNA of Panicum virgatum (switchgrass), 543 nucleotides long. RefSeq lists it as uncharacterized. NCBI's taxonomy places the organism in Eukaryota, Viridiplantae, Streptophyta, Magnoliopsida, Poales, Poaceae. The transcript has 2 exons. The record is from RefSeq and is a predicted model, not a curated record.
CACGGUGGCUGUCUGGAUCGGACUCCAAGAUCGGCACCAGCAGCUGCACGGAGAAGACCUGGAUGUCUGCUGGGCAUGGUGACCUUGGCUGUGUGCUUUCUAAUUCUGGUUACUGAGCAUGGAAGUGAACAAGUGCUUUGUGACAUUAUUACCUUGGCUUGGAGUCAAGGAGUGGAGAUUUAUCCAUGAACCGUCACGUCUACACUACAUGGACUCCUUUAUCGAGCUACUCGGGAAAAGGUACAGAGCCGUUGUAUUGUAUGCAGGACAGGAUUGUGGAUAGAAGAUGAACUGCAAUCAUAAUACCUGAUCGUCUGGAUUCUUAGUUGCGGCGCAUGUGGUGGGAUCGCCUUGGCGCCUUGCUUUUAGUAUGUGAGUGAACUUUGUAGUAUGAAGAACUUCAUCUCCUUAUUCCGGAUAACAUGUUUCCUGCUGUGGUUAUGAUUCCAACUGAGAUUGUGUAUGUGCUCUUGCUCCAAACAUUUUCUGUAAAACAGCUGUUGUGUUAUGUAUUCGUCGCGUACAAUGCUCCUAUUAUUGGAA